RNAcentral lists this ribosomal RNA (232 nucleotides) under uncultured bacterium. RNAcentral's name for it is "partial 16S ribosomal RNA". It matches the Rfam family "Bacterial small subunit ribosomal RNA", at positions 524 to 755 of the family's 1533-position model. The record is from RNAcentral.
UACGAAGGGGGCUAGCGUUGCUCGGAAUCACUGGGCGUAAAGCGCACGUAGGCGGAUUGUUAAGUCGGGGGUGAAAUCCUGGAGCUCAACUCCAGAACUGCCUUUGAUACUGAGAUCUUGAGUUCGGGAGAGGUGAGUGGAACUGCGAGUGUAGAGGUGAAAUUCGUAGAUAUUCGCAAGAACACCAGUGGCGAAGGCGGCUCACUGGCCCGGAUACUGACGCUGAGGCACG